CGUUCUGUCCCCGCGGCCACCAGGUGGCGCCGCAGGCCCACGCACAGCCGGAGGGCAGGGCCGCCGGGCGCCUCUCUCCGGGAGCCGGUGGGGCCGGGGUAGGAGGUGAGGGUCUGCGCCCGGCGAGCGGCUGAGGCGGCCAGAGUCGUCCGGGCGGCUCGGGUGGUGUCCUCGGAGGGGGCGACACGUUUCCUGGUGCGCCCCGGGGGCCGCCGGCGGGGCUGUAGUUGUCGAGAGGGUCCCUCGGGGAGCUCCGUGACCCCCGACCGCUCCAGGCCCGGGUGGCGCAGUGGUUGAGAAUCCGCCUGCCAAUGCAGGGGACAUGGGUUCGAGCCCUGGUCCGGGAAGAUCCCACAUGCCGCGGAGCAACUAGGCCCGUGAGCCACAAUUACUGAGCCUGCGCGUCUGGAGCCUGUGCUCCGCAACAAGAGAGGCCGCGAUAGUGAGAGGCCCGCGCACCGCGAUGAAGAGUGGCCCCCGCUCGCCGCAACUAGAGAAAGCCCUCGCACAGAAACGAAGACCCAACACAGCCAUAAAUAAAUAAAUAAAUAAAAUUUAAUAAUUUCCUUUUUCUUGUUCCCUUUCUGCAGCUAUAACGAAGUUCCUUUCUAUUGCUGGAUGGGAUGUGGCCUGAUUCAUGAAUUGCUUAAUAAAGCCAAUUAGGUUCCCAAAUUUA
Long non-coding RNA from Balaenoptera acutorostrata (minke whale), 676 nucleotides. RefSeq lists it as uncharacterized. NCBI's taxonomy places the organism in Eukaryota, Metazoa, Chordata, Mammalia, Artiodactyla, Balaenopteridae. The record is from RefSeq and is a predicted model, not a curated record. The transcript has 2 exons.